Molecule: ribosomal RNA, 492 nt
Filed under: uncultured bacterium
Lineage: Bacteria
Description: partial 16S ribosomal RNA
Rfam family: Bacterial small subunit ribosomal RNA
Source: RNAcentral
AGUGAACGCUGGCGGUAGGCCUAACACAUGCAAGUCGAACGGCAGCACAGUAAGAGCUUGCUCUUACGGGUGGCGAGUGGCGGACGGGUGAGGAAUACAUCGGAAUCUACUUUUUCGUGGGGGAUAACGUAGGGAAACUUACGCUAAUACCGCAUACGACCUACGGGUGAAAGCAGGGGAUCUUCGGACCUUGCGCGAUUGAAUGAGCCGAUGUCGGAUUAGCUAGUUGGCGGGGUAAAGGCCCACCAAGGCGACGAUCCGUAGCUGGUCUGAGAGGAUGAUGAGCCACACUGGAACUGAGACACGGUCCAGACUCCUACGGGGAGCAGCAGUGGGGAAUAUUGGACAAUGGGCGCAAGCCUGAUCCAGCCAUACCGCGUGGGUGAAGAAGGCCUUCGGGUUGUAAAGCCCUUUUGUUGGGAAAGAAAAGCAGCAGGUUAAUACCCCGCUGUUCUGACGGUACCCAAAGAAUAAGCACCGGCUAACUUCGUG